This 466-nucleotide ribosomal RNA is filed under the name uncultured bacterium. Its description in RNAcentral is "bacterial SSU rRNA". It matches the Rfam family "Bacterial small subunit ribosomal RNA", at positions 328 to 792 of the family's 1533-position model. The record is from RNAcentral.
AAUCCAGACUCCUACGGGAGGCAGCAGUGAGGAAUAUUGGUCAAUGGGCGAGAGCCUGAACCAGCCAAGUCGCGUGAGGGAUGACGGUCCUAUGGCUUGUAAACCUCUUUUGUCAGGGAGCAAAGGGCGCCACGUGUGGCGUUUUGCGAGUACCUGAAGAAAAAGCAUCGGCUAACUCCGUGCCAGCAGCCGCGGUAAUACGGAGGAUGCGAGCGUUAUCCGGAUUUAUUGGGUUUAAAGGGUGCGCAGGCGGAAUGUCAAGUCAGCGGUAAAAUUUCGGGGCUCAACCCCGUCGUGCCGUUGAAACUGGCGUUCUUGAGUGAGCGAGAAGUAUGCGGAAUGCGUGGUGUAGCGGUGAAAUGCAUAGAUAUCACGCAGAACUCCGAUUGCGAAGGCAGCAUACCGGCGCUCAACUGACGCUCAUGCACGAAAGCGUGGGUAUCGAACAGGAUUAGAUACCCUAGUA